Molecule: ribosomal RNA, 403 nt
Filed under: Fusobacteriota bacterium
Lineage: Bacteria; Fusobacteriati; Fusobacteriota
Description: Fusobacteria bacterium partial 16S ribosomal RNA
Rfam family: Bacterial small subunit ribosomal RNA
Source: RNAcentral
UGGGGAAUCUUGCACAAUGGGGGAAACCCUGAUGCAGCGACGCCGCGUGAGCGAUGAAGGUCUUCGAAUCGUAAAGCUCUGUCCUAUGGGAAGAUAAUGAUGGUACCAUGGGAGGAAGCCCCGGCUAACUACGUGCCAGCAGCCGCGGUAAUACGUAGGGGGCGAGCGUUGUCCGGAAUUACUGGGCGUAAAGGGUUCGCAGGCGGCAUGGCAAGUCCGAUGUAAAAGGCGAAGGCUCAACCUUCGUAAGCAUCGGAAACUGUCAAGCUUGAGUGAAGGAGAGGCAAGAGGAAUUCCUAGUGUAGCGGUGGAAUGCGUAGAUAUUAGGAAGAAUACCGGUGACGGAGGCGUCUUGCUGAACUUCAACUGACGCUGAGGAACGAAAGCGUGGGUAGCAAACAGG